GCUCACAGUGCUCAGCCUGCUUCUUGUUGGCCCCAGGUGAGUCCGCUCUUCCAAAAGCUGGAGAGUGAGCGCAUCGACGCCCUCCGCAAGCGCUUCGGGGGGGGGCAGGUGAGUGGGGGCUGUUUAGCCAUGGCUCCUCCUCCUCCUCCUGCCUCUCGUUUCCCCUCCCAGCCCCACAGCACCUCCUCGUCUCGGUUUCUCUUUCUUACCCACCCUUCUUCCCCAGCCCAAAGGCCCCCAGUAGUGCUGCUCUGCAUUGAGGCACCUCCUCCUCCCUCAGCCUCUCCCAGUCCUCCUUCCCACCCCUCCCGCCCCAAGCCCCUCCCGGUUGCAUUAAUUCAUCCACCUUGGUGCUUCUUCAUUCCCGUCAUUGCACCUCUUUGUCCUUCUGUCUUUUGUUUCCCCUCCUUCCUCAGACCCCCACCCCAGCAAUGCUCCUCCGCCGCAGCAUCUCCCCCCUCUGCCUUUCCUGGUUCUUUUUCCCCAGCCCCAGACCCCUCAAAGUUCUCCCCUGCCUCUUCUGUUUCUCUUCUUCCUCACGCCUCCAGCCCUGGGCUCCCCCAGUAGUGCUCAUCCACCACGGCACCAUCAUCACACAGCACAGAACGCAGACACGUCUUUCUCUUUCUCUCUCCCAUUCCUCAGGCAAAACCCCCAACCCCCCCACGCAGUCAGACCCUCCCUCAGUGCCAGGCACGGCUCCCACUGACCCCAGCCGCAUCCAGGAGCUGACAGAGCAGGUGGCCGAGCAGCCCUCACCGCUCUCUGUCCCAGGGCGACUGCGUGCGGCGGCUGAAGGCGAGCGGGGCGGACAGGGCGCGCAUCGACAGCGAGGUGGGGAAACUGCUGGCCCUGAAACGGGAGCUGGCGCUGGCUCAGAACGCGAGCCCCGACAGCAAAGGGAAGAAGUAACACAGCGGGACCGCGCCGUGCCACGCGUGUAAUAAAACCCAAAUGCCGUACAGCGGUGCUGGAAGCCAUCGUCCUUUCGCGGGGCCGCCCCACCCCGGCCCUCUAAGCGCGGCGCAGGCUGAGGACGCGCUC
RNAcentral lists this long non-coding RNA (1044 nucleotides) under Meleagris gallopavo (turkey). RNAcentral describes it as "lncRNA (ENSMGAG00000022517.1)". Lineage: Eukaryota; Metazoa; Chordata; Aves; Galliformes; Phasianidae. The record is from RNAcentral.